This 497-nucleotide ribosomal RNA is filed under the name uncultured bacterium. Its description in RNAcentral is "partial 16S ribosomal RNA". It matches the Rfam family "Bacterial small subunit ribosomal RNA", at positions 28 to 507 of the family's 1533-position model. The record is from RNAcentral.
GAUGAACGCUGGCGGCGUGCCUAAUACAUGCAAGUCGAGCGAACAGACGAGGAGCUUGCUCCUCUGACGUUAGCGGCGGACGGGUGAGUAACACGUGGAUAACCUACCUAUAAGACUGGGAUAACUUCGGGAAACCGGAGCUAAUACCGGAUAAUAUAUUGAACCGCAUGGUUCAAUAGUGAAAGACGGUUUUGCUGUCACUUAUAGAUGGAUCCGCGCCGCAUUAGCUAGUUGGUAAGGUAACGGCUUACCAAGGCGACGAUGCGUAGCCGACCUGAGAGGGUGAUCGGCCACUCUGGAACUGAGACACGGUCCAGACUCCUACGGGAGGCAGCAGUAGGGAAUCUUCCGCAAUGGGCGAAAGCUUGACGGAGCAACGCCGCGUGAGUGAUGAAGGUCUUCGGAUCGUAAAACUCUGUUAUUAGGGAAGAACAAAUGUGUAAGUAACUAUGCACGUCUUGACGGUACCUAAUCAGAAAGCCACGGCUAACUACGUG